UGCUGCGAGACGCGCCCCUCCGCACACACACGCGCAUUCCCGCGGGCCGCGCGGGUUUGACAGGGGGCGCCCAGGCGAGUGCGGGCGACGCGCGCGGCAGCUGGCGCCGGGCCUGGACGGGAGUUCGGGGGCCUCCCCUGCGCGCGCUUUCCGUCCGGGCGGAGGACGCGAGGCUGGGCGCUGCUGCGGGAGCGCUCCCGAGGGCCCCUCCCCGCGACCCGAGGUGCGCCAGGGCCGCGGGGAUCCUCCUCCCCCGGCCCCCAGUGCCCUCAGCCACACACGGGUAUCCCCGCCACCCAGGUGCCCCCGCGACCCUCCUCCCGCCCCAGUCCUUGCGCGAACAGACCCCCCACCCCGGGCUUUGCUGAGACCCUCCCUCCGGCGGUCCGCGGGCUCCGCCGCCUCCGCAGUUAGGACGGUCGUUGGUGGAAGGAGCAGAGUCUGAGGAAGCAGCGUGAGGACCCCAGGGCUCUGCCCCAGGUGUGUCCCCAGUAAAGGAGCGACAGUGGUGUCCCACCUCAGGGCGGCCGUGAGCCUGAGGUGCGGAACACGACGAAACCCCCGUCCCGGGGCCCGCACCUCGGGGACGGUCGGUCUCCGUCACGGCCUCUCCUGUUCUGCGGCGAGAACCACUUCCCACCCCGCGAGGGCGGGAAUUCGGGGCUGGCGGGGGCGCGCCUGACGUGUGGAGUCGGGGCUCUGCGUGACACUCUGGUGCAGAAGGUGCGCGACAGGUGCCGGUCCACAGCGCCCCAGAGCAGGAAAACGCGGCGCGCUUCUGAGCACCUUUCAGCCGGCGGGGGCGGGGGCUUGGGGAGGAAAAACUCUGUCCUUUAUGAAUCAGAGAGGGGGACCUAACAGGUGGGCCCCAUGGUGUAAUGGUCAGCACUCUGGACUCUGAAUCCAGCGAUCCGAGUUCAAGUCUCGGUGGGACCUCGAUCUGAGACUUUUAUCCAUGUCCUGAUCAUUCCCCUGACUUUACCAAACCCUUUCCUUUCCAGCCCCUAGAAAUUGGCAUCCACAGACCCGUGACCUGAAUGGGGGAAUCCCAACCCUUUUAUUAAGUUCCAAUACAAUUUUCUUUUUCAUAUACUGAAUACUUAUGAAAAAAUAUACAAUCACUUUUUAUUGAUCGCAAAGACAACUCAAACCAGAAGAAAAACACUUAAAAUAGAAUUAAAAACACUUGAAAUGACUAAAAAUCUCAAUUUUUAUGUUUUUCUGCUUUAGACUAGUAUGAUAGGGUAAUUAAUCACAGCCUUUAAGCAUAUAAAUGCAACAUUUGGGGACCUAAUUCUGUGACAGUUACAGAAUAGAAAUGCUUUUAAAAGAGAAAGAAAAAUUCGUGAACGUUUUUCAACUGUUCAAUAAAAGCAUGCCAUAUUUUUUAAAUUGAGGUAUAAUUAAUACAUAACAUUACUUUCAGGUGUACAACAUAAUAAUUUGAUAUAUGUAUUGUAAAAUGAUCACAAUAAAUCUGGUAACAUAGUUACAUUUUUUUUUUUACUUGUGAUGAGAACUUUUCAGAUCUCCUCCCUUAUCAACUUUCAAAUCUGCAAAUCAGUAUUAUUUAGGACAGUCACCAUGAUGUACAUUACCUCCCCAGGACUUAUUUCUCUUGUAACGAAAACUUUGUACCUUUGAACCCUGGUUCUUGCCUUUUGCCAUCUUCUGCCUCCACAGCCACCAACUGGUUCUCUGUAUCUAUGAGCUCUUUUGUUUGUUUUUCUGCUAGAUUCCACAUUCAAAUGAACUCAUAUGGUAUUUGCCUUUCUCUGUCCUACUUUUUUCACCAAAUAUAUUUUUAGAGAAUGCUAAUGCAUAUCAAAUCGUUAGAGCUUUUAGUUUCCAAUGGACAAAAUCCAAUCGCUAACAGGACUCUUUCUUCAUGUCCAAAUUUUACCAUAUGCUAGCAGUUACAUUCGUUGGAGUAAUUUAAAUUUAUGAGGAAACCUUUUAGAAGACCACUGGAACAAACAUGGAGUUUGUCACCUUCCCUUUCUCUCUUCCAGGGAUAAGAUUUGCCUCCCCUUUGAAAUGAGCAAAAAGGGAAUUAUACAAUCAUUUGGGGAGAGAGGUGGAAAAUAUCACACAUUCCUAGAAAUCAGAUACAGUGUCAGUGUUGGAUUUUAUUAAAUGGCCUGCACUUCCUUUCUGAGGCCAUCUCCCCAUCCAGACGCAGGGAAAUCAAAAACACUUAGCAGAGGAUGGUUUCGAUCCAUCGACUUCUGGGUUAUGGGCCCAGCACGCUUCCGCUGCGCCACUCUGCUCCACUGAGAGUAUGCUUACUCUUAUUAUUUAUCAUGGGAAGGAUCAGACCCUUGCCAGUUUGAUUCACACCUCUUUCACUUCCCUCUCCAGCCUUGGCCUCCACAGGACCGCCUCCUCCUGGAAGUCGGCGGGAACCUCCGGGAGCCGCUCUGCGCCCGGCCCCCGCACCCCUGCGGGCUAGGAGGCGCGAAGAAGUCCGGCUUCCCGACCCCCGGAGCGACUGGGAUAGAGGGGUCUGGGGAGCGGACCGCGCGGUUCCUGCGGUUUCUGCCUCUGCCUUGGGCUUGGAGCCAAGGCCGUACCUACGGCCGGUGCCCACGGCCAGUGCCCUCCGGCCCCCGGCACCCGCUGACCCUGCGCGCCUUCCUCUGCUCCAUCACCAGCUCCUGCACCUGCCUUUGCAAGGGUCUUUCCGCCUUCACCGAAGCCCUGUGGGCAGAGCCCCAGGGCACUCAGGGUGUCCGUUACUGAGGAAGGGGAGGGAAAAUCAUUUUCUCUCUACCCUUGGAAGCCCUUGGCUGGAAACUCUGUCACAAGAGAGCAGCAAAAGAAAAACACAAGUUUAUUAACACUUAUACCUCCUGGGUGCCUGGGAGAGACCCGCGGGAAAGGAGCCCCUCCCCCAUGUGGGCUGGAAGGAAAUCCGGUACCACCGUCCCCUAAGGACAAGAGAGGAACGUGUGUGCAGGAACAGGAGAAAGCUGAGGGAUUCCCGUGCACAAGAGGGAUCCCCAGCAACACAGAUCCAGCCCCCCACUCCAGGUGACCCAGGACCACAAGAUAUGGGGGCCUGGCAUUUGCCAUCUAGGGAUGAGCCUCAGCAGCUUAUCUUGUAACCCAGCCCCUGCUCCCUGAGGCCCACAAGGCCCUUGCCCCUCUCUCCGGGAGCUGGAGGCCUUGGGAGACCAAGGAGGCUGCCCACCAGGUACCUAGACACAAUCUCCUUCCUGGAUUCCUUUUGCGGUGUUCUUCCAUCAUUCCUGCAGGAUUUCGUCGUCGGCAUCCUCUGCGAGCAUGACUUGUCACUUUUCUGAAAGCCAAACACGAGUGCUGGUGAAAGGAGCUGAGGUCAACAGGCCUCCCACUUCCCCCCAUGGGUGGGCACAGAAGGGGCUGGGAGUACCCACCCCUCAGGUCUGUUGGGCUCUGGCGGACAGUCUUCCCCACGCACAGGCCUUGUUAGGGAGAAUGACGGCUUUGAGGGUAUAUUUAAAUGGUCAUUAUUGCCCUCCCAGGAGGGGUGGGGGGAGAGUGUGGGAAGGGAUUUUGUUCUCCAGUCUUCACUGGGAGAACCUGGUAGGACUCCCAAGGGUAAAAGUCACACAAGUGUGGGGGCUUCUGUAGGAGUGGCUGCUUCUGGUUUUUGACUUCAUGCUUGUCCACAGGAAACCUCCAGCAACUCCUGGUUGACCUGUUCCUCCCUCAUACUGGUUCCGGGGUGGUUUCCACAACAGUGAGCUGGGAUGCCUCCCAAUGCGGUUGACCCUGUUGACCGCAGUUCUUUGACGGAGCUAAGAAAAGUUGUUAAUUUUCAGUUUGUUUAGCUAUUUUGUCAUUCCGAGGACAGGAGCGACAACUUCUAAACAGUUGAUGUGCAGGAUGGGAAACAAGAAGUCGUCCAGUUCAGUUUUAUCGAAGAUAUGUGCAUUGCUUGGCAAUUUCUUUAGGAUUUAGCAAGAAAGUGAACCUAGACUCCAGUCAGAACCAAAGAAGAACACUCCCUCUGUGGAACAAGAACUGCACUGAGAAGCCCAAAUUGCUUGGCACUGAGACCCUUAGGACCAGCCAGGAGCCUGCCCUUCCAACUCUGUGGGUGACCGAUGGGAGAAAUAAGACCCUGGAUUUGACCCCUAUGCCCCCUAACUUUUGACCUCCGAUGAUGCUGUCUCCUCCACAGGCAAAAAUACACUCCCUCCCUCUCAGUCGGAUUCCUUUGUGAAAUCCAGGAUGGCGUCAUCCAAAUUAGGGGAAGGCUCAGGUGAAGUUCCUCAGGUGGAAAAGCUCAAGCCAGAUUCUUCGUAAGUGGAAUAUCUGUGGACUGAAGGUCCAAGUCCCCCGUCUUCACAGACCGGCAUCGGAGGCAGAGGCUAAACACCAUCCACACUCCCGUUCAAAGAGAACAAAACCAGGGGACACACCGAGUCCCAGCAGUUCCAGAGGCCAGUGGGCACAGGAUGCCACUUGACUGCAACUCAGUUGUGCUGGCUGGGAACUGUCCUCCGGACUCCUGGCUGCUCCGUCCCACUCAUCCGUCCUGUUCAUACGGCAUUUCUUUUACUGAGACUUUGUCCCAAACUUUGCUCGUUUCGUGCUGUCCUCUGGCUUUUUGAGUCCGCACCGUCAGCGUUCAGUCACCAUGCUCCUGACACCCCUGCGAUGUCAUGAACAUUGCUGGAGUGGAUUCCUUUAGACCUGGAGUCGGCAGACGAUGACCCCAGGCCACAUCUGGCCAGCUGCCCGUUUUUAUAAAGUUUUCUGGGAACACAGCCACACUUACUUUCUCAUAUUUUCUGUGGCUGCUUUCCUGAUGCAGCAGCAGAUGUGAGUCAUGUCGACAGACAAGCCUAAAAUAUUUGCCAUCCGGCCCCCUCAAGAAAAAGUGUUCCAACCUCCGUAUUAAACAAAAACUGCGUUUGCAAACCUGGGAACAGGAGUCCCUUGUCUACCUUGGCUUCCGAUACAGCUGCUGGCGGGGCGCACCCCCAGAUUUUGUGGGUUUGUGAAUGGGACACGUAGGACAUGUCCUGAAGACCCUUAGAGGUUUGUUGUUCUGCUGAGAGACCACCUUAGCUCACCUGGCCUUGCCAACAAAAGAUUUUCCAAUCACACCUUUGGCUGCUGGCGGGGCUCUGGACUUAACAUUUGCCUGAAAGGCAUCUCUUAAUUUCGGUGUUGGUUUUCAUCUGCAGCAGCGGGGAGUAAGAAACAGCUUUCUCUUUCAAGCCCUUUCAGCUUGGGCUCAUUGGUAUUUAACUGUUCUUCCCUUAGCUUAAAGCUCUCAUCUCACAUUUUACCAUAAACGGCGAGAAAGGCUGAGCCGGCUGUCAUCACUCUGGCCGGAAAUCUCUUUAGCGACACGAGCCAGCGUGGAGGUGUCCGUUCUACGACAGUGCGGGCGACGGUGUGGAUGAAUUAUCUGCUGCUCCAUUAAGAAAACUUUUUCUUCCAAGUUCAGGUAACAUUUUCCCUGGGAGCCCUGUGUCCCACCUGGUUAGGAUGGGUCCAAACCUAAGGUUCUGCAUUUGUUCAGAACCCCCAACCCCCGCAAUGUGCCUUAAAUCACAAGGAGGGGGGACCGGAGCCUAAAAACUGCCACUAGGCACCAAGCUAAAACCUGUCAGGCCCAUCGCUUCUCUUUCCUUUCUGUCAGGGACCAAGGUCCUGUGGUGACAGCGAGGGUCAGAAAAUGGUUAUUCACGGAUGUGUGUCUGCCAUCCUGGCUGUAUCCGGGACAGGGCAACUCCGACCCUGGCCAGGGGUCACAGGUGAAGGGAUUCACAGGUGGAGGGAGGCGUCCUCGGCAUGCAGAGCUCUCCUGCAACAGCGCUAGGAUUUUCAGUUCCAUCCGUGUUGCUCCAAGGUUGCAAACUAUCACCACAGCAUAAAUGUGCAUGCAUGUACACUGCCCAAUAAUGAAAAUCAAAGUUCCCUCCAAUUUCACAAGGCCACACCCAGUGCUGUGGCUGACAUCCUUCCAUGUGCCCUGUCACGGCGGGAUCUGAGGGGUGGGGAGGGCGGGGAAAGAUCCAGAAGCAGGAGCAGAAUGGCUCCGUGCUUCACGGAGACAUUUUUCACUUGUGUAAGUUCUCCAGGACGACAUCCCUCGAUGUCAAACCUCUCCAGUAGGCUAUGGGUGCUCUUUCCUUCCCAGUCCUACGAUAGCGGGUUUUACUCAGUUUUUACUCUUGCCAAUCAAAUGGUGGUAGAGUAUCAUCUCUUUUUACCUAUUAUUUCUGUGGUGAUAAAUGAUUUUGGAGAUUUUUGCACAAGAUUUGUUGGUCUUCCUAGAUCUCUCUCCCCUAAAUUGCUUGUCCUAUCCUUGGCCCAUGUCCUUGUGAUCUCGCUGCUUGUCAUGGCUUCUUGCUAUGAUAUCUUCUCUCUCUUCAUCUCCCCCCACCUAUCUGGGGACAAUUUAAAUAUAUUCUCCCAUGAUAUCACAUUUAUCUAUGUUUCUAUUAUGUCCUUUAUUUUACAUAUUUUUCAUUUUAAUGGAAGCAAAUGCUAGAAUAUAUUUCUUUGUUGUUUGUGCUCUUGAAGUUUUUAAAGGUUUUCCUCAAAUAAAUAAAUAAAUAAUAAUA
This is a long non-coding RNA of Mustela lutreola (European mink), 6569 nucleotides long. RefSeq lists it as uncharacterized. The transcript has 3 exons. Lineage: Eukaryota; Metazoa; Chordata; Mammalia; Carnivora; Mustelidae. The record is from RefSeq and is a predicted model, not a curated record.